Molecule: long non-coding RNA, 278 nt
Organism: Thrips palmi
Lineage: Eukaryota; Metazoa; Arthropoda; Insecta; Thysanoptera; Thripidae
Exons: 2
Source: RefSeq, a predicted model, not a curated record
CAGGGCCCCCAGGGCCCCCAGGGCCCCCCGCACCAGGGGGCUCGCCGCGCAACCCCUUCCCCCUGGCCGCGCCGCACGGCUUCAGGUUCCGGAGACGUGGCACAGACACUGGAAUAGAAAAGGACGAGAGGAGAGAUCGACCGUUCCGCAGAAACGCUGGUAGUAACAGUAUGAUUCCUGUCAUAGAAUGAAGUCAGCAUUUUCAUGCCAGGUCCAGCACUUUUAUUUUCUGACUGUCGCUGUCAAACUUUAUUAAAGAUUUUGUUAGAAAUUUGUAA